RNAcentral lists this ribosomal RNA (440 nucleotides) under uncultured bacterium. RNAcentral describes it as "partial 16S ribosomal RNA". It matches the Rfam family "Bacterial small subunit ribosomal RNA", at positions 338 to 795 of the family's 1533-position model. The record is from RNAcentral.
CCUACGGGAGGCAGCAGUGGGGAAUAUUGCACAAUGGAGGAAACCCUGAUGCAGCGACGCCGCGUGCGUGAAGAAGUAUUUCUGUAUGUAAAGCUCUAUCAACAGGGAAGAAAAUUACGGUACCUGAGUAAGAAGCCCCGGCUAACUCCGUCCCAGCCGACGCGGUCAUACGUAGGUGGCAAUCGUUAUCCGGAUUUACUGGGUGUAAAGGGAGCGUAGACGGCAGCACAAGCCUGGAGUUAAAUGCCGGGGAUUAACCCCGGAACUGCUUUGGAAACUUUGGAGCUAGAGUGCAGGAGAGGUAAGUGGAAUUCCUAGUGUAGCGGUGAAAUGCGUAGAUAUGAGGAGGAACACUAGUGGCGAAGGCGGCUUACUGGACUGUAACUGACGUUGAGGCUCGAAAGCGUGGGGAGCAAACAGGAUUAGAUACCCUGGUAGUC